This 468-nucleotide ribosomal RNA is filed under the name uncultured bacterium. Its description in RNAcentral is "partial 16S ribosomal RNA". It matches the Rfam family "Bacterial small subunit ribosomal RNA", at positions 28 to 507 of the family's 1533-position model. The record is from RNAcentral.
GACGAACGCUGGCGGCGUGCUUAACACAUGCAAGUCGAACGGAAAGGCCCUGCUUUUGUGGGGUGCUCGAGUGGCGAACGGGUGAGUAACACGUGAGUAACCUGCCCUUGACUUUGGGAUAACUUCAGGAAACUGGGGCUAAUACCGGAUAGGAGCUCCUGCUGCAUGGUGGGGGUUGGAAAGUUUCGGCGGUUGGGGAUGGACUCGCGGCUUAUCAGCUUGUUGGUGGGGUAGUGGCUUACCAAGGCUUUGACGGGUAGCCGGCCUGAGAGGGUGACCGGCCACAUUGGGACUGAGAUACGGCCCAGACUCCUACGGGGGGCAGCAGUGGGGAAUAUUGCACAAUGGGCGGAAGCCUGAUGCAGCAACGCCGCGUGCGGGAUGACGGCCUUCGGGUUGUAAACCGCUUUCGCCUGUGACGAAGCGUGGGUGACGGUAAUGGGUAGAGAAGCACCGGCUAACUACGUG